RNAcentral lists this ribosomal RNA (424 nucleotides) under uncultured Pseudoflavonifractor sp. RNAcentral describes it as "bacterial SSU rRNA". It matches the Rfam family "Bacterial small subunit ribosomal RNA", at positions 355 to 794 of the family's 1533-position model. Lineage: Bacteria; Bacillati; Bacillota; Clostridia; Eubacteriales; Oscillospiraceae. The record is from RNAcentral.
UGGGGAAUAUUGGGCAAUGGGGCGCAAGCCUGACCCAGCAACGCCGCGUGAAGGAAGAAGGCUUUCGGGUUGUAAACUUCUUUUGUCAGGGACGAGUAGAAGACGGUACCUGACGAAUAAGCCACGGCUAACUACGUGCCAGCAGCCGCGGUAAUACGUAGGUGGCAAGCGUUGUCCGGAUUUAUUGGGUGUAAAGGGUGCGUAGACGGGAGAUUAAGUUAGUUGUGAAAGCCCUCGGCUUAACUGAGGAAUUGCAACUAAAACUGGUUUCUUGAGUGCAGGAGAGGUAAGUGGAAUUCCUAGUGUAGCGGUGAAAUGCGUAGAUAUUAGGAGGAACACCAGUGGCGAAGGCGACUUACUGGACUGUAACUGACGUUGAGGCACGAAAGUGUGGGGAGCAAACAGGAUUAGAUACCCUGGUAGU